AGAAAACCCGUGUUAGGUUGUAUGAAAUUGUUUAAGAGCAUGAAUCUUGGCCCUCCAACUUCUGGGUUUGACGCACUAAACCAAUAUGAAACUGCCAAUAACAAAACAAUCAAAAUCCUUGCCAUUGUGUUAAAAUUGAAUAGUUUGCGCAACGUUACCUCUGCAUAUAUUUUGGUUGCGGGAUGCAGUGCAGCGGAAUCUGCCAGUGCCAGAAAUAGGGAAAGAUGGCUGCCUUCUCCACUGCCACGGCCCUUUGGAUACACUCGAAUUUUCCUGCAACAUCACAAUGAAUACGUGUGCUUACCCAUCAUCAGAUUAAUCCAGCUUCAAACCCGGUCAGUUAAUUAUCAGAAUGUGUGAAAAGUAGAUGGAUACCAUUUUUUAUCCCCUGCAUUGAAGAUUUUGGACUCAUAGCUCUCAGCAUCUAACUUGGAGAAGUUAUCAAUUUUCCAAACAUGCUUGUAAGUGACGGGACUCUUUAUCAUUGAUAAACACUCCCCCUUGCCUCCUUUGAAAGUUUCUUUGCAGACAAAGACCUCAGCUCCAAACACACACACAUCAUCCACCAGAUACCCGUUGGAGGACUCGUUGAAUUCUUUUAGGCUAAUGGCAACGGCUUAUUUCUUGAAGGGAAGGGAAGAUAUACCUUCAACUGUGAGGUAGUUAUCCUUGUUCUGAUCGAGCAAAAAGAGUCGGUAAACAACGAACACUUCCCAACUCGGUUGGAGGGAAUCGGUCCCCGCAAUUGCCAAAUAGAGAGAGAUGUGGUCAUUCCCACUCUUGCUUUUGUCACCAAGUGGAUGGAGUACCAAUUUCCUGCAAGAACAUUCCAUGAUUAUAUGACUAUGUAGUGCAAGCUCAAGCCUCAAAAUUUAUGAAGAAGAUGAAGAGUCUGAAGGAAUAUCAUUUACCAUUUGUAGCCACCUGCCUCGAACUCCCCGGAUUCAAACCGAUCCACCGAGUUUUUUGUUAACAGUGAAAAGGACUCUAUCUUGACUGUGUAAUGAGCAGGGGGGACAUCGGAAACAUAUCUUGAGAUCUCUGCAUAUUAUUUCAUAUUGGUAAGAAAGCAAAAGAAGACUAAGCCUAUGCUAUGGUCUUGCAUUUCCUUUAGUAUCUUAUGAACUCUGAUAAGUGCAUUCGUUUUUAACGUAGAAGUUGUUGAAA
Long non-coding RNA from Cucumis melo (muskmelon), 1167 nucleotides. RefSeq lists it as uncharacterized. The record is from RefSeq and is a predicted model, not a curated record. Lineage: Eukaryota; Viridiplantae; Streptophyta; Magnoliopsida; Cucurbitales; Cucurbitaceae. The transcript has 3 exons.